RNAcentral lists this long non-coding RNA (1104 nucleotides) under Homo sapiens (human). RNAcentral's name for it is "non-protein coding lnc-BRD3-6:1". Lineage: Eukaryota; Metazoa; Chordata; Mammalia; Primates; Hominidae. The record is from RNAcentral.
CUCUGACAGAGCUCCCUCCGCAGGGCUGGUGCUCCAGGAGCAGCUUCCAACGCUCUGGGCAACCGAAUGCCUUCCACUGCCCCAGAGUGUGGUGCUUCAGGGUGCCCCUGGGCUUAAGGUUUGAUGUGGCUGCACGCGGGCAGGACCUCUUAGCCAUCAAACAGCCACCCAGCUAAAAGGCAGAGAGCAGCGCCACAGGUGACCCAGAGGAGACGCCACUCCCCAGAGGCCGAGGAAGACUCCAAGACUUUUUUCACAGGAAUCUAUUUUUCCCUAGUCUUCCCACCAUGACUGAGCGCUUUAUAAAGCACCAUUAGAUAUGACCCCAUCUCGUCUCCAGGAACCCACCAUGAAACAAGUGUCAUCACCACAUCUUACAGGUUCACAGCAGCGCCAUUCACCGCCACCAAGAGAUGGAAACAUCCAGAGGCCCUUCCCCGGAUGAAGGAUAAACAGAAUGUGGCUCAUCCUCCUCCCUGCUGUGGAAUGCGAUUCAGCCAUGAGAAGGAGCAAGGCACUGACACAGGCCACAAUGUCGAUGAACCCUGGAAACACCAUGCUCAGUGAAAGAAGCCGGACAUGAAAGGCCAGUCUGGUGUGAUUCCAUUUACACGGAAUAACCAGAACUAGUAAAUCCCUGGAAAUAGAAAGCAGGCCAGGUGAUGUGUGGCUCGCGGCUGUAAUCCCAGCACUUUGGGAGGCCAAGGCAAGCAGAUCACUUGAGCUCAGGAGUUUGAGACUAGCCUGGGCAACAUGGCAAAAUCCAUCUCCACAAAUACAAAAGAAUUAGCCACGCGUGGUGGCGUGUGUCUGUGGUCCCAGCUACUCAAGAGGCUGAGAUGGGAGGAUCGCUGGAGCCCAGGAGGUUGAGGCUGCAGUGAGCCAAGAUUGCACCACUGUAUUCCAGCCUGGGUGACAGAGUGAGACCCUGUCAGGAAAGGAAAUGAAAGGAAAGGAGAGGAGAGAAGAGGAGAGGAGAGAAGAGGGGAGGGGAAGGGGCAGAUUGGUGGCUUCGGGGGAUGAGGGGUGGACAGUGAGGAGUUGACUGCUCAUGGGUAUAGGUCUCCUUUUUGGGGAUGGUGACAAUGUUUUGGAACUAGAUAG